GCACAAGCGGUGGAGCAUGUGGUUCAAUUCGAAGCAACGCGAAGAACCUUACCAGCCUUUGACAUCCCGGUCGCGAGCACCAGAGAUGGAGCUCUUCAGUUCGGCUGGACCGGAGACAGGUGCUGCAUGGCUGUCGUCAGCUCGUGUCGUGAGAUGUUGGGUUAAGUCCCGCAACGAGCGCAACCCUCGCCCUUAGUUGCCAUCAUUUAGUUGGGCACUCUAAGGGGACUGCCGGUGAUAAGCCGGAGGAAGGUGGGGAUGACGUCAAGUCCUCAUGGCCCUUACAGGCUGGGCUACACACGUGCUACAAUGGCGGUGACAGAGGGAUGCAAAGGAGCAAUCCUUAGCAAAUCUCAAAAAGCCGUCUCAGUUCGGAUUGUGCUCUGCAACUCGAGCACAUGAAGUUGGAAUCGCUAGUAAUCGCAGAUCAGCACGCUGCGGUGAAUACGUUCCCGGGC
RNAcentral lists this ribosomal RNA (458 nucleotides) under uncultured bacterium. RNAcentral describes it as "bacterial SSU rRNA". It matches the Rfam family "Bacterial small subunit ribosomal RNA", at positions 923 to 1379 of the family's 1533-position model. The record is from RNAcentral.